AGAGUUUGAUCCUGGCUCAGGAUGAACGCUGGCGGCGUGCUUAACACAUGCAAGUCGAACGAACCUUCGGGUUAGUGGCGGACGGGUGAGUAACGCGUGAGAAUCUGCCCUCAGGAGGGGGAUAACAGUUGGAAACGACUGCUAAUACCCCAUAUGCCGAGAGGUGAAAUGAAUUUCGCCUGGGGAUGAGCUCGCGUCUGAUUAGCUUGUUGGUGGGGUAAUAGCCUACCAAGGCUUCGACCAGUAGCUGGUCUGAGAGGACGAUCAGCCACACUGGGACUGAGACACGGCCCAGACUCCUACGGGAGGCAGCAGUGGGGAAUUUUCCGCAAUGGGCGAAAGCCUGACGGAGCAACGCCGCGUGAGGGAUGGAGGCCUUUGGGCUGUAAACCUCUUUUCUCAAGGAAGAAGAUCUGACGGUACUUGAGGAAUAAGCCACGGCUAAUUCCGUGCCAGCAGCCGCGGUAAUACGGGAGUGGCAAGCGUUAUCCGGAAUUAUUGGGCGUAAAGCGUCCGCAGGCGGCCGUUUAAGUCUGUUGUUAAAUCGUGGAGCUCAACUCCAUCACGGCAAUGGAAACUGUUCGGCUUGAGUAUGGUAGGGGCAGAGGGAAUUUCCGGUGUAGCGGUGAAAUGCGUAGAUAUCGGGAAGAACACCAGUGGCGAAAGCGCUCUGCUGGGCCAUUACUGACGCUCAUGGACGAAAGCCAGGGGAGCGAAAGGGAUUAGAUACCCCUGUAGUCCUGGCCGUAAACGAUGAACACUAGAUGUUGGGGGAAUCGACCCCCUCGGUGUCGUAGCUAACGCGUUAAGUGUUCCGCCUGGGGAGUACGCACGCAAGUGUGAAACUCAAAGGAAUUGACGGGGGCCCGCACAAGCGGUGGAGUAUGUGGUUUAAUUCGAUGCAACGCGAAGAACCUUACCAAGGCUUGACAUCCUGCGAAUCUCUAAGAAAUUAGAGAGUGCCUUCGGGAACGCAGUGACAGGUGGUGCAUGGCUGUCGUCAGCUCGUGUCGUGAGAUGUUGGGUUAAGUCCCGCAACGAGCGCAACCCACGUUUUUAGUUGCCAGCAUUCAGUUGGGCACUCUAGAAAGACUGCCGGUGACAAACCGGAGGAAGGUGUGGACGACGUCAAGUCAUCAUGCCCCUUACGCCUUGGGCUACACACGUACUACAAUGCUGCGGACAAAGAGUAGCGAUCUUGCGAAAGUUAGCUAAUCUCAUAAACCGUGGCUCAGUUCAGAUCGUAGGCUGCAACUCGCCUACGUGAAGGAGGAAUCGCUAGUAAUCGCAGGUCAGCAUAUUGCGGUGAAUACGUUCCCGGGCCUUGUACACACCGCCCGUCACACCAUGGAAGUUGGCCAUGCCCGAAGUCGUUACUCUAACCUUUUGGAAGAGGGCGCCGAAGGCAGGGCUAAUGACUGGGGUGAAGUCGUAACAAGGUAACC
This 1445-nucleotide ribosomal RNA is filed under the name uncultured bacterium. Its description in RNAcentral is "bacterial SSU rRNA". It matches the Rfam family "Bacterial small subunit ribosomal RNA". The record is from RNAcentral.